Molecule: ribosomal RNA, 274 nt
Filed under: uncultured Glomeraceae
Lineage: Eukaryota; Fungi; Glomeromycota; Glomeromycetes; Glomerales; Glomeraceae
Description: partial 28S ribosomal RNA
Rfam family: Eukaryotic large subunit ribosomal RNA (bases 5-220)
Source: RNAcentral
ACAGGAAAAGAACUUUGAAAAGAGAGUUAAACAGUACGUGAAAUUGUUGAAAGGGAAACGAUUGAAGCCAGUCGUACCUUCGGGUAAUCAGCCUUUCGGGUGCGAUUAUGUGGAGUGUGAGGAGCUUAAACACCUUCAUGUUUUGCCAAUAGGUUAGAACGGGUUAAAUUCGUUAAGGAUGUUGACGUAAUGGCUUUAAACGACCCGUCUUGAAACACGGCUGUCUCUUAUACACAUCUCCGAGCCCACGAGACUGUCAAGGAUCUCGUAUGCC